UUAUAUUAUAUUAUAUUAUAUUAUAUUAUAUUAUAUUAUAUACCAUAAUAUCAUAGGUUAUACUGGAACAACUAGAUUAGUAGAUAUACAUUAGAACGGCAUUACCGAACUAACUUAUAUCAUUGACUGAGGACAUUGUCAGCAAUUGCAACUUGUAAAAAUUUGUCAUCCUGUAACAACAAUCUUGUAUCAGAGUUACUCGAUUUUAAACACAAAAAGUUCUAAAUUUACACUAAUGCCUCUGAACAUGCACCUUACUCCUUAGGCUUAGAACGUACGUUUAACAAUUACUUGUAAAAAGUACAGUACAGUACAACACAUCUCAUCAGUUUCAUUCACUCUUCGAGUAUUACUCAUGGAAUUAGACAACCAGCUGCUAUCAAGGCCUGCCCUGCUGGUGUCAUUGCAAAAGAAGCCAGUCCACCCGCACCAAGAGAUUGAAGAAAGGCCACAAGACUCCAAGAUGAAACACCACCUCCACUGAAAAUUGCCGUCCAUGACAUCAUUUUGGCUGCAAGUGUGCCUGCUCCAAUACCAGCCGGGCCAAAGCCAACUGCUGUUGCGGCAGCUGGGACCCCAAAUACAACUCCAGCAGCUAUGGCACACGUGGGUGAUAUUCUAAAUGCGAAAUGGUGAU
Paramuricea clavata is the source of this 637-nucleotide non-coding RNA. Lineage: Eukaryota; Metazoa; Cnidaria; Anthozoa; Malacalcyonacea; Plexauridae. The record is from the annotation of a GenBank genome assembly.